Molecule: ribosomal RNA, 274 nt
Filed under: uncultured bacterium
Lineage: Bacteria
Description: partial 16S ribosomal RNA
Rfam family: Bacterial small subunit ribosomal RNA
Source: RNAcentral
AUACGGAGGGGGCAAGCGUUAAUCGGAAUUACUGGGCGUAAAGCGCUCGUAGGCGGUUUGUUAAGUCGGAUGUGAAAGCCCCGGGCUCAACCUGGGAACUGCAUUCGAUACUGACAGACUAGAGUAUAGUAGAGGCAAGUGGAAUUCCGGGUGUAGCGGUGAAAUGCGUAGAUAUCCGGAGGAACAUCAGUGGCGAAGGCGACUUGCUGGACUAAUACUGACGCUGAGGAGCGAAAGCGUGGGGAGCAAACGGGAUUAGAUACCCCGGUAGUCC